UCACUGCUGACGAGUCCCAAAAUAGGACGAAACGGCCGUCCAGUGC
Molecule: non-coding RNA, 46 nt
Filed under: Schistosoma margrebowiei
Lineage: Eukaryota; Metazoa; Platyhelminthes; Trematoda; Strigeidida; Schistosomatidae
Source: RNAcentral